UACGUAGGGUGCGAGCGUUGUCCGGAAUUAUUGGGCGUAAAGGGCUCGUAGGCGGUUUGUCGCGUCGGGAGUGAAAACCCAGGGCUCAACCCUGGGCCUGCUUCCGAUACGGGCAGACUAGAGGUAUGCAGGGGAGAAUGGAAUUCCUGGUGUAGCGGUGAAAUGCGCAGAUAUCAGGAGGAACACCGGUGGCGAAGGCGGUUCUCUGGGCAUUACCUGACGCUGAGGAACGAAAGUGUGGGGAGCGAACAGG
RNAcentral lists this ribosomal RNA (253 nucleotides) under uncultured bacterium. Its description in RNAcentral is "partial 16S ribosomal RNA". It matches the Rfam family "Bacterial small subunit ribosomal RNA", at positions 524 to 776 of the family's 1533-position model. The record is from RNAcentral.